Long non-coding RNA from Equus asinus (donkey), 1640 nucleotides. Lineage: Eukaryota; Metazoa; Chordata; Mammalia; Perissodactyla; Equidae. The record is from Ensembl.
UCACACCACAGCAAUGCAGCUUCUGGAAACCCAUUGUGACAGUGCAGGGGGCCUGGAACGUUCCUGUGACUGGCUCUGGUGGGUGAGGCCUGCUGAGGCAUGUAGGUGACCAAGCAGUGCCCCCAAGGUCAGCUAAAGGGAUGGCUUUUAUCAUCCGCUGGUGAAAACUGAUGAACUGGUACUGAAUGUGACUGCGGUACCUCCUGGAAGACCAAGCGUCUCUAACCUGCUCCCGGGUCAGCAGCUCCCGGGCCUUGGAGGCUGCCUCUGAGUGCUCAGCAGGCUCACCCACGGACUUCCUGCUCUCUCAUGCCACCACGCCUUAGUCAAAGACUUUUACAUGCUUCCCUGCUCCUGCUAUUGAACGUGGCUUGGGACUGCUAUGGAGCUCACUCUGGCCCAUUUUUCACCAUCAUGUAACUGACUCAGCCUUUCAAUUUCCACUCCAAAUUCCUCUGCCUGGUGGAUUUCUGUCUCUGUAAUAACUAAAUGUGGCUGGCCAGACUUGGGAGUGGUGGGACAGAAUCAUAAAGAACCCUAGACUGUUCCUCCUAGAGGUGUGGGUAAAGCAGAUUCUCGAAGGAAGGAGGUUACAACUAUUUUUGGAAAAAUUGCCCUGGAGAGAAAACUGAAAACUGGAUAAACAGAACCCUCACAACAAGGGACAGUCUUGACUGAGGUGGAAGAGGCAGAAAUUCCUUCUGGAGAGAAAAAAAUACCACCUUUGUGAGACCCAGAGAUUCACAGCUGGCCAGGCAGGAGCCAUCCUAAGAUGUUUGCAAAAUCCGUGGACCUGAGUUAUAAUGACGUGUGCUGCUAAUAGAUGGUAUCAUUUAGCAUGCAAAGUAGUACACUUCCCUAAAUUUCAGUGCUUAUUUCACUCGAUGUGCCAAUCAGCUGCCUCAUUUGGGCUCCUGAAGAACCAGAAUUUUCAGCUCCGCUGGCCUGGAUUCCUUGUCUCGUCAGCACAAUCCUCUGCUGCUCCAGAGUUUGGCUAUUGCGGGAACUCAGCUUCUGUUCAUCUUUCCUGCCCCUGCUCUCAUCAAGCCUGACUUUGUCAUUCAAGUGGAAGAUUUGACUGGCCAGCCAAUUCCAACCUACUAGUGUCCUCCAGCUGUCUAUGGGUGGGACCACUGUCUACAAAGUGACCACAUGCCAGAGCUUAUAGACUGGGGUCCCACCUUUGUCCAGGGAAUGUGGCCCAGCCAACUGUUUUGGGAUGUUUGUGACAACUGUGCAAAUUAUGGCCACUUUUUCCAUAAGAAAUUGUACAUGUGGCCAACACUCAGAGCGUUAUAUCUCUUAAACAGGUUUAGUAGUUCAGUGUUAAAUUAUUUUCUAAUUUUGUAAAAUUGGUAGUGAAUCUUAUAUGUAAACUCUAUUAACUUGAAUUUUAUGUCAGAACACUACCUAUCAUGGGUGUCAGUGGAUACUUAAUAAUUGCUAACUUUAUUAAGUACUUACCAUUGCAAAUAUAUCUCCUUUAAAUUUAACAAGUACUCUGUGAGUAAGAUACUUUUAUCCCCAUUUCACGGGUAAAGAAACUAAGGCUCAGGGAGGUUUAUCAACUUGCCUAAAGUCACAUGAUUAAGUCGUUCAACCAGAAUGUGAACCUAAGUUGGUGAGGUCUCAAAGCCAAG